GUGCCAGCCGCCGCGGUAAUACGUAUGGUGCGAGCGUUAAUCGGAAUUACUGGGCGUAAAGCGUGCGCAGGCGGCUUUGCAAGACAGAGGUGAAAUCCCCGGGCUCAACCUGGGAACUGCCUUUGUGACUGCAAGGCUAGAGUACGGCAGAGGGGGAUGGAAUUCCGCGUGUAGCAGUGAAAUGCGUAGAUAUGCGGAGGAACACCGAUGGCGAAGGCAAUCCCCUGGGCCUGUACUGACGCUCAUGCACGAAAGCGUGGG
This 261-nucleotide ribosomal RNA is filed under the name uncultured Burkholderiales bacterium. Its description in RNAcentral is "partial 16S ribosomal RNA". It matches the Rfam family "Bacterial small subunit ribosomal RNA", at positions 505 to 765 of the family's 1533-position model. The record is from RNAcentral. Lineage: Bacteria; Pseudomonadati; Pseudomonadota; Betaproteobacteria; Burkholderiales.